GAUGAACGCUGGCGGCGUGCCUAAUACAUGCAAGUCGAGCGAAUGAAGAGGAGCUUGCUCCUCUGAUUUAGCGGCGGACGGGUGAGUAACACGUGGGUAAUCUGCCUGUAAGACGGGGAUAACUCCGGGAAACCGGGGCUAAUACCGGAUAAUAAGAGAAGAAGCAUUUCUUCUUUUUGAAAGCCGGUUUCGGCUGACACUUACAGAUGAGCCCGCGGCGCAUUAGCUAGUUGGUGAGGUAACGGCUCACCAAGGCGACGAUGCGUAGCCGACCUGAGAGGGUGAUCGGCCACACUGGGACUGAGACACGGCCCAGACUCCUACGGGAGGCAGCAGUAGGGAAUCUUCGGCAAUGGGCGAAAGCCUGACCGAGCAACGCCGCGUGAGCGAUGAAGGCCUUCGGGUCGUAAAGCUCUGUUGUUAGAGAAGAACAAGUACGAGAGUAACUGCUCGUACCUUGACGGUACCUAACCAGAAAGCCACGGCUAACUACGUGCCAGCCGCCGCUGUAA
This 512-nucleotide ribosomal RNA is filed under the name uncultured bacterium. RNAcentral's name for it is "partial 16S ribosomal RNA". It matches the Rfam family "Bacterial small subunit ribosomal RNA", at positions 28 to 523 of the family's 1533-position model. The record is from RNAcentral.